GUCCCUGUAGCGCAAUGGAUAGCGCGUUGGAUUUCUUUUCCAAAGGUCGUGGGUUCGAUCGUGGGCUAUCUGGGAUG
This is a non-coding RNA of Trichonephila clavata, 77 nucleotides long. The record is from the annotation of a GenBank genome assembly. NCBI's taxonomy places the organism in Eukaryota, Metazoa, Arthropoda, Arachnida, Araneae, Nephilidae.